Molecule: transfer RNA, 72 nt
Filed under: Ictidomys tridecemlineatus (thirteen-lined ground squirrel)
Lineage: Eukaryota; Metazoa; Chordata; Mammalia; Rodentia; Sciuridae
Description: Spermophilus tridecemlineatus (thirteen-lined ground squirrel) tRNA
Rfam family: tRNA
About the family: Transfer RNA (tRNA) molecules are approximately 80 nucleotides in length. Their secondary structure includes four short double-helical elements and three loops (D, anti-codon, and T loops).
Source: Rfam by way of RNAcentral
GAGAGUAUAGUUCAGUGGUAGAGUACAUGCCCGGCAUGUGUGAAGCUGUGGGUUCAAUUCCCAGUCUUCCCA